GAUGAACGCUGACAGAAUGCUUAACACAUGCAAGUCUUUGGUGAAGCUGUGCUUGCACCGCCUAGCCAAGGCGGACGGGUGAGUAACGCGUAAGGAACUUGCCCUGCAGUCAGGGAUAACAGACGGAAACGACUGAUAAGACCUGGUAAAGUCAGGCGGACUCAUGUCCAGCCUGAUGAAAAGAGAUGCUGCAGGAGAGCCUUGCGUCCUAUUAGCUUGUUGGCGGGGUAACGGCCCACCAAGGCAAUGAUAGGUAGCCGGCCUGAGAGGGUGGACGGCCACAAGGGGACUGAGAUACGGCCCUUACUCCUACGGGAGGCAGCAGUGGGGAAUAUUGGACAAUGGGGGCAACCCUGAUCCAGCAAUUCUGUGUGCACGAUGAAGGUUUUCGGAUUGUAAAGUGCUUUCAGCAGGGAAGAAAAAAAUGACGGUACCUGCAGAAGAAGCGACGGCUAAAUACGUG
This 463-nucleotide ribosomal RNA is filed under the name uncultured bacterium. RNAcentral's name for it is "partial 16S ribosomal RNA". It matches the Rfam family "Bacterial small subunit ribosomal RNA", at positions 28 to 507 of the family's 1533-position model. The record is from RNAcentral.